Molecule: ribosomal RNA, 864 nt
Filed under: uncultured bacterium
Lineage: Bacteria
Description: partial 16S ribosomal RNA
Rfam family: Bacterial small subunit ribosomal RNA
Source: RNAcentral
UAUCUGGGGAAUAGCCUCCCGAAAGANAGAUUAAUACCCCAUACCACAANGUUAAGGCAUCUUAAUAUUGUGAAAGCUCAGGCGGAUAUGGAUGGGCAUGCGGCUGAUUAGCUAGUUGGUAGGGUAACGGCCUACCAAGGCUACGAUCAGUAGGGGGUCUGAGAGGAUGUCCCCCCACACUGGUACUGAGAUACGGACCAGACUCCUACGGGAGGCAGCAGUAGGGAAUAUUGGUCAAUGGAGGCAACUCUGAACCAGCCAUGCCGCGUGCAGGAAGACUGCCCUAUGGGUUGUAAACUGCUUUUGUACGGGAAGAAACCUUACUACGUGUAGUAAGUUGACGGUACCGUGAGAAUAAGGAUCGGCUAACUUCGUGCCAGCAGCCGCGGUAAUACGAAGGAUCCAAGCGUUGUCCGGAUUUACUGGGUUUAAAGGGUGCGUAGGUGGACUAAUAAGUCAGUGGUGAAAGCCUGCAGCUUAACUGUAGAAUUGCCAUUGAAACUGUUCGUCUCGAGUAUGGUUGAGGUUACUGGAAUAUAUCAUGUAGCGGUGAAAUGCUUANAUAUGAUAUAGAACACCAAUUGCGAAGGCAGGUAACUAAGCCAUAACUGACACUGANGCACGAAAGCGUGGGGGAUCAAACAGGAUUAGAUACCCUGNUAGUCCACGCCCUAAACGUUGCAUACUCGAUCUUANCGAUAUACAGUUANGGUCUUANCGAAAGCGGUAAGUAUGCCACCUGNNAAGUACGUUCNCAAGAAUGAAACUCAAANGAANUGACGGGGGCCCGCACAAGCGGAGGANCAUGUGGUUUNANUUCGAUGAUNNNCGAGGAACCUUACCUGGGCUUGAAUGUGANUGACC